CUACGGGUGGCAGCAGUGAGGAAUUUUGCGCAAUGGGGGAAACCCUGACGCAGCAACGCCGCGUGAGCGAAGAAGGCCUUCGGGUCGUAAAGCUCUGUCAAGUGGGAAAAAAAUUCUUUGAUGAAUAGUCAAAGGACUUGAUGGUACCACUGGAGGAAGCACCGGCUAACUCCGUGCCAGCAGCCGCGGUAAUACGGAGGGUGCAAGCGUUGUUCGGAAUUACUGGGCGUAAAGAGCGUGUAGGCGGUUUGGCAAGUCAGAUGUGAAAGCCCCGGGCUCAACCCGGGAAGUGCAUUUGAAACUGCUUCACUAGAGUAUGGGAGAGGAGAUUGGAAUUCCUGGUGUAGAGGUGAAAUUCGUAGAUAUCAGGAGGAACACCCGUGGCGAAGGCGAUUCUCUGGACCAAUACUGACGCUGAGACGCGAAAGCGUGGGGAGCAAACAGGAUUAGAUACCCCGGUAGUC
RNAcentral lists this ribosomal RNA (464 nucleotides) under uncultured bacterium. RNAcentral's name for it is "partial 16S ribosomal RNA". It matches the Rfam family "Bacterial small subunit ribosomal RNA", at positions 339 to 795 of the family's 1533-position model. The record is from RNAcentral.